GCUUACGGCCAUAUCAGCCUGGGUACGCCCGAUCUCGUCUGAUCUCGGAAGCUAAGCAGGGUCGGGCCUGGUUAGUACUUGGAUGGGACACCGCCUGGGAAUACCAGGUGCUGUAAGCA
This 119-nucleotide ribosomal RNA is filed under the name Salmo salar (Atlantic salmon). The record is from RNAcentral. Lineage: Eukaryota; Metazoa; Chordata; Actinopteri; Salmoniformes; Salmonidae.